CUUUUUAUGCCGAGUUUGCGUUGCAAACUCGUUAUCUAUUGCGCUUUCUCAACUCUCGUUUGCGAAAGCGCGAAAAAACUUUUUCGCAAGUUGACACUUGCUUCAAAAGUUUUUUAGGAGG
Molecule: regulatory RNA element, 121 nt
Organism: Treponema maltophilum ATCC 51939
Lineage: Bacteria; Pseudomonadati; Spirochaetota; Spirochaetia; Treponematales; Treponemataceae
Rfam family: TD-1 RNA
About the family: non coding RNA found in Treponema denticola
Source: Rfam